AGAGUUUGAUCCUGGCUCAGGAUGAACGCUAGCGGCAGGCCUAAUACAUGCAAGCUGAACGGUAAAUAUUGUAGCAAUACAAUAUGAGAGUAGCGUAAGGGUGCGUAACACGUAUGCAAUCUGCCCUGUACAGGAGAAUAGCUCGGCGAAAGCCGGAUUAAUACUCCGUAAUAUUGUUGAGUGGCAUCACUUGGCAAUUAAAGUCGCAAGACGGUAUGGGAUGAGCAUGCGUCUGAUUAGCUAGUUGGUAGUGUAACGGACUACCAAGGCGAUGAUCAGUAGGGGAACUGAGAGGUUGAUCCCCCACACUGGCACUGAGAUACGGGCCAGACUCCUACGGGAGGCAGCAGUAGGGAAUAUUGGUCAAUGGAUGCAAGUCUGAACCAGCCAUGCCGCGUGCAGGAAGAAGGCCUUCUGGGUUGUAAACUGCUUUUGCCGGGGGAUAAAAUUCCCAUGCGUGGGAAAUUGAAGGUACCCGGUGAAUAAGCCACGGCUAACUACGUGCCAGCAGCCGCGGUAAUACGUAGGUGGCAAGCGUUGUCCGGAUUUAUUGGGUUUAAAGGGUGCGUAGGCGGCCUAUUAAGUCAGUUCUGAAAUAUCCCGGCUUAACCGGGAGGGUGGGAUUGAUACUGAUGGGCUUGAGUGGAGUCGAGGUAGGCGGAAUUGACGGUGUAGCGGUGAAAUGCUUAGAUAUCGUCAAGAACACCGAUAGUGUAGACAGCUUACUAGACUUCAACUGACGCUGAGGCACGAAAGUGUGGGGAUCAAACAGGAUUAGAUACCCUGGUAGUCCACACUGUAAACGUUGAUUACUCGCUGUGUGCGAUAUACAGUACGCGGCUUAGCGAAAGCGAUAAGUAAUCCACCUGGGGAGUACGCCGGCAACGGUGAAACUCAAAGGAAUUGACGG
RNAcentral lists this ribosomal RNA (910 nucleotides) under uncultured bacterium. Its description in RNAcentral is "bacterial SSU rRNA". It matches the Rfam family "Bacterial small subunit ribosomal RNA", at positions 8 to 916 of the family's 1533-position model. The record is from RNAcentral.